GCUGUGAGCUCGAUGAGUAGGGCGGGACACGUGGUAUCCUGUCUGAAUAUGGGGGGACCAUCCUCCAAGGCUAAAUACUCCUGACUGACCGAUAGUGAACCAGUACCGUGAGGGAAAGGCGAAAAGAACCCCGGCGAGGGGAGUGAAAAAGAACCUGAAACCGUGUACGUACAAGCAGUGGGAGCACGCUUAGGCGUGUGACUGCGUACCUUUUGUAUAAUGGGUCAGCGACUUAUAUUCUGUAGCAAGGUUAACCGAAUAGGGGAGCCGAAGGGAAACCGAGUCUUAACUGGGCGUUAAGUUGCAGGGUAUAGACCCGAAACCCGGUGAUCUAGCCAUGGGCAGGUUGAAGGUUGGGUAACACUAACUGGAGGACCGAACCGACUAAUGUUGAAAAAUUAGCGGAUGACUUGUGGCUGGGGGUGAAAGGCCAAUCAAACCGGGAGAUAGCUGGUUCUCCCCGAAAGCUAUUUAGGUAGCGCCUCGUGAAUUCAUCUCCGGGGGUAGAGCACUGUUUCGGCAAGGGGGUCAUCCCGACUUACCAACCCGAUGCAAACUGCGAAUACCGGAGAAUGUUAUCACGGGAGACACACGGCGGGUGCUAACGUCCGUCGUGAAGAGGGAAACAACCCAGACCGCCAGCUAAGGUCCCAAAGUCAUGGUUAAGUGGGAAACGAUGUGGGAAGGCCCAGACAGCCAGGAUGUUGGCUUAGAAGCAGCCAUCAUUUAAAGAAAGCGUAAUAGCUCACUGGUCGAGUCGGCCUGCGCGGAAGAUGUAACGGGGCUAAACCAUGCACCGAAGCUGCGGCAGCGACGCUUAUGCGUUGUUGGGUAGGGGAGCGUUCUGUAAGCCUGCGAAGGUGUGCUGUGAGGCAUGCUGGAGGUAUCAGAAGUGCGAAUGCUGACAUAAGUAACGAUAAAGCGGGUGAAAAGCCCGCUCGCCGGAAGACCAAGGGUUCCUGUCCAACGUUAAUCGGGGCAGGGUGAGUCGACCCCUAAGGCGAGGCCGAAAGGCGUAGUCGAUGGGAAACAGGUUAAUAUUCCUGUACUUGGUGUUACUGCGAAGGGGGGACGGAGAAGGCUAUGUUGGCCGGGCGACGGUUGUCCCGGUUUAAGCGUGUAGGCUGGUUUUCCAGGCAAAUCCGGAAAAUCAAGGCUGAGGCGUGAUGACGAGGCACUACGGUGCUGAAGCAACAAAUGCCCUGCUUCCAGGAAAAGCCUCUAAGCAUCAGGUAACAUCAAAUCGUACCCCAAACCGACACAGGUGGUCAGGUAGAGAAUACCAAGGCGCUUGAGAGAACUCGGGUGAAGGAACUAGGCAAAAUGGUGCCGUAACUUCGGGAGAAGGCACGCUGAUAUGUAGGUGAAGUCCCUCGCGGAUGGAGCUGAAAUCAGUCGAAGAUACCAGCUGGCUGCAACUGUUUAUUAAAAACACAGCACUGUGCAAACACGAAAGUGGACGUAUACGGUGUGACGCCUGCCCGGUGCCGGAAGGUUAAUUGAUGGGGUCAGCGCAAGCGAAGCUCUUGAUCGAAGCCCCGGUAAACGGCGGCCGUAACUAUAACGGUCCUAAGGUAGCGAAAUUCCUUGUCGGGUAAGUUCCGACCUGCACGAAUGGCGUAAUGAUGGCCAGGCUGUCUCCACCCGAGACUCAGUGAAAUUGAACUCGCUGUGAAGAUGCAGUGUACCCGCGGCAAGACGGAAAGACCCCGUGAACCUUUACUAUAGCUUGACACUGAACAUUGAGCCUUGAUGUGUAGGAUAGGUGGGAGGCUUUGAAGUGUGGACGCCAGUCUGCAUGGAGCCGACCUUGAAAUACCACCCUU
This 1826-nucleotide ribosomal RNA is filed under the name Escherichia coli. RNAcentral's name for it is "partial 23S ribosomal RNA". It matches the Rfam family "Bacterial large subunit ribosomal RNA", at positions 396 to 2207 of the family's 2925-position model. The record is from RNAcentral. Lineage: Bacteria; Pseudomonadati; Pseudomonadota; Gammaproteobacteria; Enterobacterales; Enterobacteriaceae.